Long non-coding RNA from Oncorhynchus tshawytscha (Chinook salmon), 4032 nucleotides. The record is from Ensembl. Lineage: Eukaryota; Metazoa; Chordata; Actinopteri; Salmoniformes; Salmonidae.
UAAAUACAUAUUCUUGUUUUAUUUAUACUUUAUUCAACAUUUAACAAAUGUAACUAAACUCCAUGUUACAGUUAGUUGAAUUGUUUGGUUCCAUGCUUGUGUUUGUUUCAAACUCCAUCCAAUAUUUUAUCUUUAUCACUGACCUCAACCCAGAGUCUUUUAGAGUGUUCACAGACCAUAAAAAUAGAGUAUAUGAAUCCAUAAAUACCUCAUAUAGCACUGUAGUCCACCACAAACAACUGUGACGAUUUACACACAAAAAUAGAGUAUAGUAUACUUCAUUUCAAAUUCAUAUAGUCGUUAUAUCAUUAUAUGGAUACUUAGGUGCUUUUUCAUAAACUGUAAUACAGAGCACUUCGCAUAUAGUGAUAAUCUGUGCAGGACUGUCAGCGAUUGAUCACUAUACAGUAUUCACUAUCAGCAGAGUGGUGUAUACAGUAUUCACUAACAGAGUGGUGCAUACAGUAUUCACUAUUAACAGAGUGGUGUAAACAGUAUUCACUAUUAGCAGAGUGUUGUAUACAGUAUUCACUAUUAGCAGAGUGGUGUAUACAGUAUUCACUAUCAGCAGAGUGGUGUAUACAGUAUUCACUAACAGAGUGGUGCAUACAGUAUUCACUAUUAACAGAGUGGUGUAAACAGUAUUCACUAUUAGCAGAGUGUUGUAUACAGUAUUCACUAUUAGCAGAGUGGUGUAUACAGUAUUCACUAACAGAGUGGUGUAUACAGUAUUCACUAUUAGCAGUGUGGUGUAUACAGUAUUCACUAUUAGCAGAGUGGUGUAUACAGUAUUCACUAACAGAGUGGUGUAUACAGUAUUCACUAUUAGCAGUGUGGUGUAUACAGUAUUCACUAACAGAGUGGUGUAUACAGUAUUCACUAUUAACAGUGUGGUGUAUACAGUAUUCACUAUUAACAGAGUGGUGUACAGUAUUCACUAUUAGCAGAGUGUGCUAUAUACAGUAUUCACUAUUAGCAGAGUAUACUGUAUACAGUAUUCACUAUUAACAGAGCAUACUGUAUACAGUAUGCACUAUUAGCAGAGUAUACUGUAUACAGUAUUCACUAUUAGCAGUGUGUACUGUAUACAGUAGUCACCAUUAGCAGAGUAUACUGUAUACAGUAUUCACUAUUAGCAGAGUAUACUGUAUACAGUAUUCACUAUUAACAGAGUGGUGUAGAGUAUUCACUAUUAGCAGAGUGUGCUGUAUACAGUAUUCACUAUUAGCAGAGUGUACUGUAUACAGUAUUCACUAUUAGCAGAGUGGUGUAUACAAUAUUCACUAUUUGCAGAGUGUACUGUAUACAGUAUUCACUAUUAGCAGAGUAUACUGUAUACAGUAUUCACUUAACAGAGUGGUGUAUACAGUAUUCACUAUUAACAGAGUGGUGUACAGUAUUCACUAUUAGCAGAGUGUGCUAUAUACAGUAUUCACUAUUAGCAGAGUAUACUGUAUACAGUAUUCACUAUUAACAGAGCAUACUGUAUACAGUAUGCACUAUUAGCAGAGUAUACUGUAUACAGUAUUCACUAUUAGCAGUGUGUACUGUAUACAGUAUUCACUAUUAGCAGAGUAUACUGUAUACAGUAUUCACUAUUAACAGAGUGGUGUAGAGUAUUCACUAUUAGCAGAGUGUGCUGUAUACAGUAUUCACUAUUAGCAGAGUGUACUGUAUACAGUAUUCACUAUUAGCAGAGUAUACUCUAUACAGUAUUCACUAUUAACAGAGUGGUGUAUACAGUAUUCGCUAUUAGCAGAGUGUACUGUAUACAGUAUUCACUAUUAGCAGAGUAUACUGUAUACAGUAUUCACUUAACAGAGUGGUGUAUACAGUAUUCACUAUUAGCAGAGUGUACUGUAUACAGUAUUCACUAUUAGCAGAGUAUACUCUAUACAGUAUUCACAAUUAACAGUGGUGUAUACAGUAUGCACUAUUAGUAGAGUAUACUGUAUACAGUAUUCACUAUUAGCAGAGUGUACUGUAUACAGUAUUCACUAUUAGCAGAGUGUACUGUAUGCAGUAUUCACUAUUAGCAGAGUAUACUGUAUACAGUAUUCACUAUUAACAGAGCAUACUGUAUACAGUAUUCACUAUUAGAAGAGUGUACUGUAUACAGUAUUCACUAUUCGCAGAGUGUACUGUAUACAGUAGUCACCAUUAGCAGAGUAUACUGUAUACAGUAUUCACUAUUAGCAGAGUGUACUGUAUACAGUAUUCACUAUUAGCAGAGUAUACUCUAUACAGUAUUCACUUAACAGAGUGGUGUAUACAGUAUUCACUAUUAGUAGAGUGUACUGUAUACAGUAUUCACUAUUAACAGAGUAUACUGUAUACAGUAUUCACUAUUAGCAGAGUAUACUGUAUACAGUAUUCACUAUUAGCAGAGUAUACUGUAUACAGUAUUCACUAUUAGCAGAGUAUACUGUAUACAAUAUUCACUAACAGCUUUUCACUGAAGGUGACAGCUGGACCAGAAGGGCAUAUAGACCGCCCUCAGGACUGACUGACGAAGACACCAGAACACACACACUGAAGUACACACACUCACUGACGUACAGAAACAAACAUACACACUCUCACACACACUGACGUAGGCUAUACAUACAUACAUAUCGUCACACACACACACACACAGCACAGACUCCAUUGAGGACCAAAACGAGGCACGACGGGACUUGGCAGUGCGACAUGGAAUGUUUUAAUCAUUGAUUCUGGAUGGUUACAGUAGUUCUGGAUAAUGCUCGUUGUGACAUAAUGCCAUGUACUCUAAUAGCCAUCGGAAUCCUCCUGCAAGUACAGAGAGGGAAAAGUUACUUCAGGAAUUAUUAGUAUUACAUUAUGUUCCUAUUUGUGUAAUAACUGAUAACAAAUGAUCCCAAAGUGAAUCACAAACAUACCAUAGACGGAGGGUGAUGAUGGUGGAUGAAACCCAAAAACAUUACUGUGAAGUCAUGGGAACCUCACCCUUCUGAACGGAAAUCCACAACAAAAGAAACAAUUAAACACAAACAAAAACUAUGUAAAACAAUCUGAUGAAUGAAACAUGGAGGAUGAUGACUCAGUAAAAACGGGAGGAUGAUGACUCAGUAAAAACGUGAGGAUGAUGACUCAGUAAAAACGGGAGGAUGAUGACUCAGUAAAAACGGGAGGAUGAUGAGGAGUUAACCAUUAAUCACUGAUUCAAUGACAGAGUUACUGUACAGUCCUGUAGGUUCUCUCUCCAACCCUGUUCCUGGAGAGCUACCCUCCUGUAGGUUUUCAUUCCCACCCUGUUCCUGGAGAGCUACCCUCCUGUAGGUUUUCAUUCCCACCCUGUUCCUGGAGAGCUACCCUCCUGUAGGUUUUCAUUCCCACCCUGUUCCUGGAGAGAUACUAACCUCCUGUAGGUUUUAACUCCAACCCUGUUCCCGGAGAGAUACCCUCCUGUAGGUUUUCAAUCCAAUUCCAGUUGUAACUAACCUGAUUCAACUUAUUAACCAGCUAAUUACAAGAGUCAGGUGCGCUAGGUUAGGGUUGGAGAGAGAAUCUACAGGAUGGUACAGUAACUCUCCAGGAACAGGGUUGGAGAGAGAACCUACAGGAUGGUACGGUAACUCUCCAGGAACAGGGUUGGAGAGAGAACCUACAGGACGGUACAGUAACUCUCCAGGAACAGGGUUGGAGAGAGAACCUACAGGACGGUACAGUAACUCUCCAGGAACAGGGUUGGAGAGAGAACCUACAGGACGGUACAGUAACUCUCCAGGAACAGGGUUGGAGAGCCUUGGUCUACAGCCUCGGACCCCGAGGUUCCAUCUACAGAAAGCCUGUUGAAAUAGUGAUCUAGAAGAUGUUAAGCGUGACGGUAAAUGUCCCACCUCUGCAGCAUCAUCGCCCUCUGGGUCCGCUGGAGACUCGUUGAUGGGCAAGUCUUUAGACAUAGCAUCUUCAUCCUGCAAUAAUAACACAUUCACUGACCAGGUCAACAAUGGACAAGUGUCCCAAAUAACCCUGUUAGACUAUUACCUUGUGUUAGUUGGUUGCUGCUGC